GAUGAAGAACGUAGCGAAAUGCGAUAAGUAAUGUGAAUUGCAGAAUUCAGUGAAUCAUCGAAUCUUUGAACGCACAUUGCGCCCGCUAGUAUUCUGGCGGGCAUGCCUGUUCGAGCGUCAUUUCAACCAUCAAGCUCCCGGGCUUGCGUUGGGGCCCUGCGGCCGCCCGCAGGCCCCGAAAUGCAGUGGCGGGCUCGCUGUCACACCGAGCGCAGUAGCGUACCUCUCGCUCCGGGCGUGGCGGCGGGCGCCGGCCGUGAAACCCCCUACAUCAAAAAGGUUGACCUCGGAUCAGGUAGGAAUACCCGCUGAACUUAAGCAUAUCAAUAAGCGGAGGA
This 338-nucleotide unclassified non-coding RNA is filed under the name soil metagenome. Its description in RNAcentral is "partial contains 5.8S ribosomal RNA, internal transcribed spacer 2, and large subunit ribosomal RNA". The stretch from base 1 to 120 matches the Rfam family "5.8S ribosomal RNA", at positions 35 to 154 of the family's 154-position model. The record is from RNAcentral.